RNAcentral lists this ribosomal RNA (434 nucleotides) under uncultured bacterium. RNAcentral describes it as "bacterial SSU rRNA". It matches the Rfam family "Bacterial small subunit ribosomal RNA", at positions 954 to 1392 of the family's 1533-position model. The record is from RNAcentral.
GCAGAACGCGAAGAACCUUACCCACCUUUGACAUGUACGGAAGUUGCCAGAGAUGGCUUCGUGCUCGAAAGAGAGCCGUAACACAGGUGCUGCAUGGCUGUCGUCAGCUCGUGUCGUGAGAUGUUGGGUUAAGUCCCGCAACGAGCGCAACCCUUGUCAUUAGUUGCUACGAAAGGGCACUCUAAUGAGACUGCCGGUGACAAACCGGAGGAAGGUGGGGAUGACGUCAAGUCCUCAUGGCCCUUAUAGGUGGGGCUACACACGUCAUACAAUGGCCGGUACAAAGGGCAGCCAACCCGCGAGGGGGAGCUAAUCCCAUAAAGCCGGUCGUAGUCCGGAUCGCAGUCUGCAACUCGACUGCGUGAAGUCGGAAUCGCUAGUAAUCGUGGAUCAGCAUGUCACGGUGAAUACGUUCCCGGGUCUUGUACACACCG